Molecule: long non-coding RNA, 2835 nt
Organism: Phyllostomus hastatus (greater spear-nosed bat)
Lineage: Eukaryota; Metazoa; Chordata; Mammalia; Chiroptera; Phyllostomidae
Exons: 3
Source: RefSeq, a predicted model, not a curated record
AGUCAAUCAGCGGGAAGCAGAGGGUACGAAUGUCGCGUUCCCAGGCCCAGCGCAGUGCGAUGAGCGUACACAGACCCACGGCGUGUGCACCCAGCAGUCACUCCGGUGCCUCGGCAGACCGGGGAUUCCAAGAUAAACAAUGCCUCACACAGGGAGAAGAUGUAUGCACCUUGAUGUAGAAAUUUGGAAAGAAACAAAACUUUGCCCAAAGAAAAAUAGGGAAGGGGAAAGCAGGAAAUGACAUGAUUUAAAAAUGAAAAAGACAGAAUAUACUUGCAUCGAGAAGGACCAUAAGCAUCUCAAGAAAAGGAAAUGACUCCAUGGCCGGCCCACCCCUGCACGGAGAUGUAACGUAGGAGCAGAUGGUAGAGAAGCGGCAGAGUCCCAGGACGUGGCCCCAGCAUCCCACUGAACCUGUGUCUGCACCUGAGUGUUAGCAGUUCAUCCAGGCGCUGGUUUGUGUGGCGUGUCAACUUCCCUCUGGAACUCCACGGCUCAGUCUGUGGCGACCCAGCCCAGAGUCAGACCUUGUCUUGAACGUCAUGAAGUGUCACUUCAUCCCCAUGCUAUUGGUCAAAGCAAGUCACGGGGCCCCUCAGAUGAAAGGGCAGGGGAAUGUACAAGGCACGGGUGACAGAAGGAGUGGCUCAUGGGGGGACCAUCUUUCCAGAUCGACUGCUGCAGUGAUGAAGGGAUGGCCUCACCGACAAAGUGACAUUUGAGCACAGCUCUAAGGGACAUGAGCGAGCACGCCAUGUGACAUCUGAGCAUGGGGAACAGAAAGCAAAAAUCCCUGGGGCAGGACUACCCCUGAUGUGCUGAGAAAACAGAGGCCAGGGUAGCUGGGCUAGAGCAAGGUGAGUGGAGAGCGUUAGGAAUUAACUCAGGAAGAGGGCCAUGAUGGACAGCCUGAGAGGCCCCUGUGAGGACGGCGGAUUUUGGUUUGAGUUGCACGAGAAGCCAACGGAUGAUGUUAAACAGAAGAAUGAUAUGAUCUGGCUCAUAGCUAAGAAACUAUUCAUUCACAAGAGCUUCUAACGGAGGACCCAAACAGCCACUCUACUAAAAGCAUCAUGGGUAACCAAAGGGCCUAGGUCUCAAUGUUAGGCUUCUAUCUUCCAUAAAUAGCUUAAUUUCUCUUGGCUUUAGAUUCUCCAUCUGGAAACUGAGGGGUGGCCAGAGAAACAAUUUCAGAGAGAGCUCACUAGCCCAUCCCAAGGGUUGGGGAGAUGGUCCGGCUGACCCCUCUGGUUUCGACCCAAGAAGCAUUGUGUUGCUCUGCUUCAUACGCUGGACUCGCUUCCACGUAAGGUUUUGUUUGAAGAGAGAUUUUUGCUACUAAAAUGCCUUUAAAAAGCCACCGGCCUAGAUGAACUCUAAAUUCCUUGCAGCUUGAAAGUCCAUGCGUCUGUCACUAUUGACCAGAGGAUAAAAUGUGUAUAAAAGUGGGGAGGGGACUUGCCUCAUUCACAAGUGGAAGCAACGGUUGAAGUUUUUCCUGGGAGCCCCCGGCGGCCUCGCGGCUGGAAACCCUCCCUCCGUGAAUUCCUGUUCACUUCUCCUUGUGAAGAGGGAAGAACUGGGGGGAAGGUUGGCGUCUGGAGGUGAAAGAUAACAUGCCAGCGUAACCGAGACCGAACCUUAAUUUUUGGAAGUGGGGAGAACUGCGCCCUGGGGGCUUCUGAGCAGUCUCUGUCUUCUAGGUGGAGGCUGGAGUUCGCCUUUCAGACAGACCCUCUGUGUACAACGGGAGGGCCCGCUUUGGGGAGACCUUCCAAUUAACCUUUGUGGCUCCUCAGGGGAGCCUCGGGGCUUCAAAACUGGCGAAUAACAGAAGUCCAAGGGUUUGGUGAAGCUGUGUCCCAGCAGAAGCCCGCGUGGUUCACCACCUCUAGUAACCGCUGUGGCUUCUAGGGUGUGGUACUUCCUACACCCUCGGGGUUUUUGGAAAGUGCUUCUAAGAGUCUGAUCCAGUCUCCAAAGGUGCUGUGGGAAAUGGGAAAAAGUAGUGUGCUCGCCUUCCUGGAGGUCACAGAGGGGACUGACUGUGCCCGAGGAACUCUGAUCUCAGAAGGGUCAUCAGUACGGCGCAGCUCUGAGAGAGGAAGAGUUGCCAUGGUCACGGCCGCACCCACCCGAGGCCCUGGCGGGUCCCAGAGAGCACACACGGACUGCCUGCCAGCCCGAAGCAGGGAGAGUGGCGGCAGGAGGAGGAGAGCCCAGUGGACUUGUCCCAUGGGAGCCUACGGGAGCUGGGGACAAGUGGAGGGGAGUUAAUGUCCAAAAUUUUUGCAGAUGGACCUGGGCAAUAAAACAGGGGGCAAAGAAAGGAGGGCGCUCUUAUUGGGUAGUUGCUGGCUGAAGGGACCCAUGCACCAUGCAUAACAGGAAGCCAAACGAAGAUUCCAUCUUGGAUGCAAAGCCACAAAACAUGCAGGCGACAGAACUCCAGCGGGACGAUGUAACUGCUCUGAGAUUCUGGCACGACGUAGCUCGCUCCAGUUUUGCAGAGAGGGAAGACAUUCUGGAGGCGAUAUCAUACCGGCCCCUCUCCCUCAGGUGCUGACAUCUUCUUGGUGUUCCUUCAAUGCUUGUCUUGCACUGGAGUCAGCCCAUUCCCUCAGACGAAGUCUUUAUCGAUGGGAGAACAACUUUUCCUCUGCCACUCUUCUCUCCGGUUUUCUUCCUUGUUCCCCACCACACUAAAAUCCUUUACAGAAUCCUACAUAGUAAUUAAAGAAUACUUUGACCAUCGUUAAGGAAAAAAGAGAUCACUCGGUGUCUUAGCCCAAUACUUGGAAUAGAGUAAUCACUAAAUAUAUGAGAAUUGUUAUU